This 490-nucleotide ribosomal RNA is filed under the name Alternaria alternata. RNAcentral describes it as "eukaryotic LSU rRNA". The stretch from base 146 to 299 matches the Rfam family "5.8S ribosomal RNA". The record is from RNAcentral. Lineage: Eukaryota; Fungi; Ascomycota; Dothideomycetes; Pleosporales; Pleosporaceae.
GGAAUCUCUCGGGGUUACAGCCUUGCUGAAUUAUUCACCCUUGUCUUUUGCGUACUUCUUGUUUCCUUGGUGGGUUCGCCCACCACUAGGACAAACAUAAACCUUUUGUAAUUGCAAUCAGCGUCAGUAACAAAUUAAUAAUUACAACUUUCAACAACGGAUCUCUUGGUUCUGGCAUCGAUGAAGAACGCAGCGAAAUGCGAUAAGUAGUGUGAAUUGCAGAAUUCAGUGAAUCAUCGAAUCUUUGAACGCACAUUGCGCCCUUUGGUAUUCCAAAGGGCAUGCCUGUUCGAGCGUCAUUUGUACCCUCAAGCUUUGCUUGGUGUUGGGCGUCUUGUCUCUAGCUUUGCUGGAGACUCGCCUUAAAGUAAUUGGCAGCCGGCCUACUGGUUUCGGAGCGCAGCACAAGUCGCACUCUCUAUCAGCAAAGGUCUAGCAUCCAUUAAGCCUUUUUUCAACUUUGACCUCGGAUCAUGCCGUAUGCACGUGC